Long non-coding RNA from Formica exsecta, 4385 nucleotides. RefSeq lists it as uncharacterized. The record is from RefSeq and is a predicted model, not a curated record. Lineage: Eukaryota; Metazoa; Arthropoda; Insecta; Hymenoptera; Formicidae. The transcript has 2 exons.
GGAUAUCGUUUUUUUAUUAACGUUUUAUCAGUUACAAUUUUGAUUACAUACAUAUAAUGUGGAUCCUUCUUUAAACACAUGGUUGCUAUGAUACAAAUGACGAGGAUAAAAAUUUGGAGUGCGUAAAAAUGUAAUUAGAUGACAAUUUAUUUUUGUUUUUAUUUUCUUUUUUUUUUCUUUUCUUUUCUUAUUACUUCAUUGGUCAUGGCGAUGGGCCAACUUUGAAACGUAUAUUAAUAUAAUAUACCGAGUUUGGCCCAUGUCCACUUGUAAGUGGGUAGGUAGGUAGGUAGGUAGGUAAUAUCCUUGAUCGCAAUUAAAUCGUCCCUAAUUCGCUAAUAUUUUACACACUAACAGUGCGCAAUCGUCGCUCAAGACUGAUGUCCGAUGUUAAAAGAUCUGAUCGUCCCGCCGAUCUCAGGAUUGUGUCUCUCACAUCGAUCACAGAGAGAGGCUUUUCGGAGCUUUCAGUGUGCCAAAUUCAAAGGACAAUAUUUACAAAAAUAUCGAAUAACAAUCGACGACAACGUGAUUAAAAGCAAACUUCUAAAAUAUCUCGGAUAUCAAUAAAGAUAAUUAAUAUAUUGGAGGAUAUACGAGUCUAAAUAUUUCGAACGGAAUUGUUUUAUCACUAAAUGAGCUAAAUGAGGAACUUUGACUGCAAAAAUCAAUCCAACGACUUAAAGAAUCGCUCGAUCGAGUCGACGAGAAGGAAGUGAUCGCGAUAAUGAUCGCAGUGAUCAUUCGGCUAUUCAAUCCAAAGCUCGCUUUUGAAUACGACACACUCUCUUCCUGAACCAAAAUGUAUUCGAGAUCUUUCCAAUUCAGAAUCAAACCAUCAUGCGAAGAAUCUCGUACGCGAAAUUAGCAGCAUCGCGCGUAUAUCAUUCGAUCAAUCAUGCUCUCAGACGUUAAUCCUGUCAGAAUAUACCGAAUUAUAUUUAGAUUAAAGACGUUUUGUUUCAGGAAAUAAAUAAUUCUUUAGAAUAGUUAUACUUAACAAAUAACUUUACUAUCUUUUCUAAUUUUCCAUUUUCUGUGCGACAAAAUGCCAAUCGUUAUCAUGUAGACUAAUCAAACAGAAUGUACUAAUGUUUGGAUGAAUGAGUCAAUUGAAUGAACGCGAUACUCUAUUCAUGGAUGCUAGAUGAACAAUUCGUUUAUUAACAGUCUAUCAAAUAUUAAUCGCGAAUUACGACAUCGCGGCCGGCAAAUGUCAUUCGCGCUAAAUCUUGUUGAUGAAUAGAAAUUAAGCUAAUCGAACGCUUGCUGUUUAUCAGUCGAUGGCUUCGUGAAUCACACAUGAUUUGCACGAUCGCGAAAGAUUUAAUUAAAGAUCAUCAUUUUAAUACGUUUAAUAAUGCAGUUUAUGGCAAGAAUUCGGCACGAUUUAUUCAAUUUCUCUGGUAUGUAUAAAUGCAAUAUCUCAUCAACUACAAAAUAAAAGUUUCAAUCACACUAGAUAACAUCAAUAAAAAUAGACUUCAUAGACACUGAUCAAUCUCAUAAUAAUGUUAAAUAUAAUUAAAGUAAUUUACAUUCAAAAAAAUUAAGAUUGAUUCUAAAUACAUGAUUUUUAGUUUGAUUGCCAUUUCUACUUGCUUGUAAAGAAUCUUAUGAUUUUCGUUAUAUGUUAAAAUUCGCAAAAUUAUUUUGCGAUUCUAAAUCUAUAGUCUUCCUGAAUAAAAGAAUAUACGUGUUUAAGACUAAAGAAUAAUUAUAUAAUUCGAAAAUUUUAGAAUAAAAAUUUCUAAAAUACAAAGUGUUGAAACUUUUACUCGCGAUACAAGUAAGUCGUAUUCAUUGAUGUAUCAAAACUGCAUUACAAUAGCGUGCGAAUUAAACAUGAUCUUAAUCCGAAUUAGGUAAAAACAGAAGAUUCACUAACGAAAUUGCACUAGUCCUUUAAUUGUUCGCGAGAGCGCAAAGCAUUGAGCAACAAAGACUAUAAUUAACGCAAAAUCGUGUUAAGUAAUUAAGAAAUAAUACGCGCCAUUGUGUUAAUUAUUCGUAAUAAAUUUCGUGUUGUCUUUCGCAAUCGUCGUCCUUUAUGAGCGUCCUUUUUGCACAUUUCGCGCGGAAACGAGAAGCGCGACUUCAAAGGCAAGCGUUUAAAUUUUAUCCCGGCAAUCUCUUCUGAUCGCCAUAGCGAAAGAGAUUCAGCAUUUAUAUAUCCUUUUUCGUAUCAGAAAAUAUGCGCAAUUCCGCGUUUUGUACAUUCGCAGAAAUACAAAGAAAGAAAGAAAAGAAUGAAAUGCGUUCGAAACCAAAAGCCGCUUUCUCGCAGAUUAAUUCACGACCCUAGGUCAUCCGCCUUGUGUGCGACCUGUCACUCUAUUAUGAUCGAUACUUUCACUGAGCCCGCCGAGCCCGUUGUCCCUCCGCUUUCCUCUUGCGCAUAAAUUAAAAAACUUGACUCGUACAAGUAUGACCCCAUAUGGUGAUGAACAUUCACGAGGUGUAUCGCUCGAGACGUUCCACAUAGCGCGCCAACUCGUAGAACCAUUGUUUGAAAUUAAAAUAGCUUCUGAAUGAAGAUGCGGCCGAGAGUUUGCGUGUCUCGUCUCGCAUCUCGUGGCUAUUCUCAACGCUGUUUCGAAGUGCAUCGCCGACUAUUCGAACGGAACACAGAUGGGAUUUAUCUUCGGAUAGGCAUUUAAAUCAAUAUGCACUCCUGAAAGAGAGAGAGAGAGAAAGAUAAUUUAACGCAUAAAUGAUAUAUACUUUUGAAAAAAUACCUAACGCAAUAACGCGUGACGAUAUUCAACGGUGACGUUUGCUAAAUCUUAUUCAAUCUGUUAUCAACGUCUGAGGACUGAUUCCACCGAUUAUUUCGAUUCGAGCGGUUCUUCAUCUCCUUCUACAAGUUUCGAGCUAGAAAAAGGCGAAGAAUCGAUAAAAAUACCGCGGUUAAAAGUUAAUUAUCAUCGGUAAAGCCAGCCCGUAAAUGUUCGCCGGUCAACUUUACGACAUUGUGUUUGCCUGCGAAUGUGACUAGUGCGAUACCGCGGAAUGUCGAGAUCUUGUUUGCUUGCAGCGAAGCGUCGUGAACCGCGCGUUACGGAUCGGACUACUAUAACGAAGAUCACAGUCCUUUCCUUAUACGGAGGGCAAAUCGUGCCGCUCGAGGCCUGGGCGAUGCACUUUCUCCCGGCAAGGAUCUCAAGUUCCGUACCGUCUCGCCUCCGCGCGACUUCGCCGCGUACUUUGUGUAAUGUAUUUUGUUUUCGACUACGUCGCGCGGAUGCGAUUUGAUGCUACUUUCGAGUUUCGGCCUAGGGAUGCCCGUGGGGCAUUAUAAUUUCGGCUUUCAUGCGCUAACAAUUAAAAAUUUGUUCGCCUAUUACUUAUCAUUUCGUGUAUUUUUUGUCGUUUAAAUUCAAUUCACAUUAUUAGGGUAUAAUAAUUAAUUAAUUAAUUAAUUAAUUAUAAUAGUGUCAUUAUAAUUCGUAAUAAUAUACAACAUUUGUCAAUAGAUCAUUUAUGCUAAAACCCACUGCAUGCUCGUGUCGAAAUCAUUCGUACAUUCUCUCGCAUACUCUCCCGCACAUGCACGCAUACACACACGCUCCUAUACACGUGCGUUUUCUGUUUCUCACUCUUUGCGAUUUCGCUUAGCUUUCUCUCUCUAUAUGCACAAGUAUAUUUUACGAAAUACACCUUUCUCCUGCUUUCGCACACUCUCACGCCGUGGGACUGUACUGGCUUCAGGCGUGGCUUAUCUAACUAAUUCACGAUUCUUUCUGUGUGUGACUCUGGAGUAAGUGUAUAUGUAAAUAUAUAAUUGCGUAUGUACGUGUAAAUGCGUGCGCAACGACACGCGUGCGUGCCUUUUUUUGUCACACGCGAUUCGUCUCUCGCUCUCGGUACUUUCUACGUAUAAGCCACAUUCGCUCUUGUAUCUGUGUAGCCUACUUUAUUUCAAUCUAAAAAAAAAGAAUCAGGUAAAAGAAGAUAGAAGAUCAAUGCGCGGCAAUACACGCGUUCGCAUUUAAAACCAGCAAAAUAAUGAGAACACAAUGGCGAUCUCUCGGAGAAAAAAAAAAAAAAUAAGAAUGAUUGAUAUUUAUAUGAUGCACAUGAAUAUGUUGAUGAUAGUCUUUGUAUAUAUCUCAAAAUAUAUUCCCGCUCGAUUUCGACAUGCCAAAAAUGCAGAAAAUGUUUUGUUCUUUAAAAGGAUAUAAAUGGAUUUUUAUAUGUAUAUGUGCUCCGUCUCUUCUCCCUGUUUCUCGUGUAAAAUUCGACAAAUAGUCGGAUUCGAUUCAUUCAUUUGCAAAUAUUCGAGAAUGGUCCGAUUUAAAGAUCCCGAAGGCGCGAUACACCACUUUGAUUUUCCAGAAAGCAACAUCGCUUUUUGGAUUACAAUUAAAAUCGAACAAACAGUA